This 254-nucleotide ribosomal RNA is filed under the name uncultured bacterium. RNAcentral describes it as "partial 16S ribosomal RNA". It matches the Rfam family "Bacterial small subunit ribosomal RNA", at positions 524 to 776 of the family's 1533-position model. The record is from RNAcentral.
UACGAAGGGUGCAAGCGUUACUCGGAAUUACUGGGCGUAAAGCGUGCGUAGGUGGUUUGUUAAGUCUGUUGUGAAAGCCCCGGGCUCAACCUGGGAAUGGCAAUGGAUACUGGCAAGCUAGAGUGCGGUAGAGGGUAGUGGAAUUCCCGGUGUAGCGGUGAAAUGCGUAGAUAUCUGGAGGAAUACCGGUGGCGAAGGCGGCAUCCUGGACCGGCAUUGACGCUGAGUGAGCGAAAGCCAGGGGAGCAAACGGG